GAUGAACGCUAGCGGCAGGCCUAAUACAUGCAAGUCGAGGGGCAUCACGAAUAGCAAUAUUUGGUGGCGACCGGCGCACGGGUGCGUAACACGUAUACAAUCUACCUGUAACAGGGGGAUAGCCCGGAGAAAUCCGGAUUAAUACCCCAUAAUAGUUUCCACAGCAUUGUGGGGAUUUGAAAGUUCCGACGGUUACAGAUGAGUAUGCGCAUGAUUAGCUAGUUGGCGAGGUAAUGGCUCACCAAGGCGACGAUCAUUAGGGGUACUGAGAGGUUAA
RNAcentral lists this ribosomal RNA (277 nucleotides) under uncultured bacterium. RNAcentral describes it as "partial 16S ribosomal RNA". It matches the Rfam family "Bacterial small subunit ribosomal RNA", at positions 28 to 303 of the family's 1533-position model. The record is from RNAcentral.